GCAAGUCGAGCGAGAAAGUACUUCGGUACGAGUAAAGCGGCGGACGGGUGAGUAACGCGUAGGAAUCUACCUAGUAGUGGGGGACAACUCGUGGAAACGCGAGCUAAUACCGCAUACGCCCUACGGGGGAAAGCGGGGGAUCUUCGGACCUCGCGCUAUCGGAUGAGCCUGCGUAGGAUUAGCUAGUUGGUGAGGUAAAGGCUCACCAAGGCGACGAUCUCUAGCUGGUUUGAGAGGAUGAUC
RNAcentral lists this ribosomal RNA (243 nucleotides) under uncultured bacterium. Its description in RNAcentral is "partial 16S ribosomal RNA". It matches the Rfam family "Bacterial small subunit ribosomal RNA", at positions 57 to 305 of the family's 1533-position model. The record is from RNAcentral.